UACGGGGGGGGCAAGCGUUGUUCGGAAUUACUGGGCGUAAAGGGCUCGUAGGCGGCCAACUAAGUCCGACGUGAAAUCCCCAGGCUUAACCUGGGAACUGCGUCGGAUACUGGAUGGCUUGAAUCCGGGAGAGGGAUGCGGAAUUCCAGGUGUAGCGGUGAAAUGCGUAGAUAUCUGGAGGAACACCGGUGGCGAAGGCGGCAUCCUGGACCGGCAUUGACGCUGAGGCGCGAAAGCCAGGGGAGCAAACGGG
RNAcentral lists this ribosomal RNA (253 nucleotides) under uncultured bacterium. Its description in RNAcentral is "partial 16S ribosomal RNA". It matches the Rfam family "Bacterial small subunit ribosomal RNA", at positions 524 to 776 of the family's 1533-position model. The record is from RNAcentral.